Molecule: ribosomal RNA, 497 nt
Filed under: uncultured bacterium
Lineage: Bacteria
Description: partial 16S ribosomal RNA
Rfam family: Bacterial small subunit ribosomal RNA
Source: RNAcentral
GAUGAACGCUGGCGGCGUGCCUAAUACAUGCAAGUCGAACGGACGGACGCUAAGCUUGCUUCUCUGCUGUUAGCGGCGGACGGGUGAGUAACACGUGGAUCACCUACUUAUAUUUCUGGGAUAACUACGGGAAACCGGAGCUAAUACCGGAUAAUAUUUUGCACCGCAUGGUUCAAAAGUGAAUGAGGGUCUUGGUGUCACAUAUAGAUGUAUCCGCGCUGCAUUAGCUAGUUGGUAAGGUAACGGCUUACCAAGGCAACGAUGCAUAGCCGACCUGAGAGGGUGAUCGGCCACACUGGAACUGAGACACGGUCCAGACUCCUACGGGAGGCAGCAGUAGGGAAUCUUCGGCAAUGGGCGAAAGCCUGACGGAGCAACGCCGCGUGAGUGAAGAAGGUCUUCGGAUCGUAAAACUCUGUUAUUAGGGAAGAACAGAUGUGGAAUGAAACGUGGACAUCUUGACGGUACCGAAUCAGAAAGCAACGGCUAACUACGUG